UGUGGUGUGUGUGUGUGUGUGUGUACUGUGUGUGUGUGUGUGUGUGUGUGUGUGCACGCACACACACACACACACACACACACACAUAUACAAUAAUGUGUGUACUCAGUAUUGACAACAUUGAAGCAACAUUUUUUUCUAAAUAACAAUGUAUCAAUUUCAUACAAUAUACUCAAAG
Small nucleolar RNA from Epinephelus moara (kelp grouper), 178 nucleotides. RefSeq annotates it as small nucleolar RNA SNORA23. The transcript has a single exon. Lineage: Eukaryota; Metazoa; Chordata; Actinopteri; Perciformes; Serranidae. The record is from RefSeq and is a predicted model, not a curated record.